CAUCUCUCCACGUAGCCCGGCCCCGCCGCGUCCUCGUAGCGAGAUGCGUCGCCGGCGGCGGUAGUUCCGAGUCGCGAUCCGACGGCGGAUUUGGCAUCAUUCCAGAGAGGCGCUGCACACGGAAGAUCGAGGAAGUAUCUCCAGCGGCUACGCCAUCGAAAAUAGGCAGACAAGUUCAGGAGAAACUUACUCGUGGAGGAAUAUGUUUAUGUUGAGAGAAACCAGAUCUUGGGUUGCUUAAGCUUUGUCUUCAAAUCCCAAAAGCUGGUUGACUUUAUAUUCUUAGACAAUGCUACUGGACCGUGCAACGUGGCCACAACAGGGAUCUUCUGUGAAGUGCUUCCGUGAACACUCCUAUGGUGCAAGGUAUAUUGUUGUGUGUUACUACAAGGUCGAGCUGCUGCUAUUGCUGGUUCAUCUCUACUCCACAGGGCAAGUUACCUCCGACUCUUUUCACAAUUUCUUGUGAUUUCUCAUUGUCGAGACAAUGAGCCAAGUUUCUCUAGAACCUUUUAGUCCUUGUGUUGUGUAAAACUAAAGACCUAGCUUUUUUUACUUAUCUUUACUAGUCAUGCUCACUGUUUAUAA
Molecule: long non-coding RNA, 588 nt
Organism: Zea mays
Lineage: Eukaryota; Viridiplantae; Streptophyta; Magnoliopsida; Poales; Poaceae
Exons: 2
Source: RefSeq, a predicted model, not a curated record